Molecule: ribosomal RNA, 253 nt
Filed under: uncultured bacterium
Lineage: Bacteria
Description: partial 16S ribosomal RNA
Rfam family: Bacterial small subunit ribosomal RNA
Source: RNAcentral
UACGGGGGGAGCAAGCGUUGUUCGGAUUUACUGGGCGUAAAGGGCGCGUAGGCGGCGCAACAAGUCACUUGUGAAAUCUCCGGGCUUAACCCGGAGCGGCCAAGUGAUACUGUCGUGCUAGAGUGCGGAAGGGGCUACUGGAAUUCUCGGUGUAGCGGUGAAAUGCGUAGAUAUCGGGAGGAACACCAGCGGCGAAGGCGGCUUUCUGGACCAAUACUGACGCUGAGACGCGAAAGCGUGGGGAGCAAACAGG